Molecule: non-coding RNA, 21 nt
Organism: Caenorhabditis elegans
Lineage: Eukaryota; Metazoa; Nematoda; Chromadorea; Rhabditida; Rhabditidae
Source: Ensembl
UAAUUUAGUCAUUGGUGUUAC